GAUGAACGCUAGCUACAGGCUUAACACAUGCAAGUCGAGGGGCAGCAUGGUCGUUGCUUGCAAUGACCGAUGGCGACCGGCGCACGGGUGAGUAACGCGUAUCCAACCUUCCCCCUACCCGGGUAUAGCCCGCCGAAAGGCGGAUUAAUCCCCGAUACGUCCCCUGACGGCAUCAGGCGGGGACGAAAGGUAUUCCGGUAAGGGAUGGGGAUGCGUCCGAUUAGCUUGUUGGCGGGGUAACGGCCCACCAAGGCAACGAUCGGUAGGGGUUCUGAGAGGAAGGUCCCCCACAUUGGAACUGAGACACGGUCCAAACUCCUACGGGAGGCAGCAGUGAGGAAUAUUGGUCAAUGGGCGGAAGCCUGAACCAGCCAAGUAGCGUGCAGGAUGACGGCCCUACGGGUUGUAAACUGCUUUUUUGCGGGAAUAAAGUGGCUCACGCGUGGGCCUUUGCAUGUACCGCACGAAUAAGGACCGGCUAAUUCCGUG
Molecule: ribosomal RNA, 489 nt
Filed under: uncultured bacterium
Lineage: Bacteria
Description: bacterial SSU rRNA
Rfam family: Bacterial small subunit ribosomal RNA
Source: RNAcentral